CCUACGGGUGGCAGCAGUGAGGAAUAUUGGUCAAUGGGCGCGAGCCUGAACCAGCCAAGUAGCGUGAAGGAUGACUGCCCUACGGGUUGUAAACUUCUUUUAUAAAGGAAUAAAGUGAGGCACGUAUGCCUUUUUGUAUGUCCUUUAUGAAUAAGGAUCGGCUGACUCCGUGCCAGCAGCCGCGGUAAUACGGAGGAUCCGAGCGUUAUCCGGAUUUAUUGGGUUUAAAGGGAGCGUAGAUGGGUUGUUAAGUCAGUUGUGAAAGUUUGCGGCUCAACCGUAAAAUUGCAAUUGAUACUGGUAUCCUUGAGUAUAGUUGAGGUAGGCGGAAUUCGUGGUGUAGCGGUGAAAUGCUUAGAGAUCACGAAGAACUCCGAUUGCGAAGGCAGCUUACUAAACUGCCACUGACAUUGAUGCUCGAAAGUGUGGGUAGCAAACAGGAUUAGAUACCCGAGUAGUC
Molecule: ribosomal RNA, 460 nt
Filed under: uncultured bacterium
Lineage: Bacteria
Description: partial 16S ribosomal RNA
Rfam family: Bacterial small subunit ribosomal RNA
Source: RNAcentral